Molecule: long non-coding RNA, 2521 nt
Filed under: Vitis vinifera (wine grape)
Lineage: Eukaryota; Viridiplantae; Streptophyta; Magnoliopsida; Vitales; Vitaceae
Description: long non-coding RNA (VVIN_LNC002105)
Source: RNAcentral
UAGAGAAUAACAACAAAUGCUAAAGAAUAGGAAGUGCAACUAAAGAAUAGGAAUUGUUGAGAUACGUAACAGACUCAACAAACAAUUAGACCAAGUCUUCCAUCUUGCCACUACACUACGUGGUCUGAUCUAGUGCGUGUAAAGUGGUACGUAUCAUUCCCCACCGCUUAAGGAUCCUUGUCCACAAGGAUGAAAUUAGGAUAUGACUUGGUGAAACGCCACUCAUUCUCCCAGGUUGCGUCUUCUACUGGUACACCAAUCCAUUUCACCAGGAUUUCAGAUUUGGGGCAGUAUUUACCCUUAUGGAUUACGCGGCGAUCUAAGACAACUUCGGGUUGGGGAAAGAUAGUCGAAAUAUCCAAGAUAGGGGGAAGUUGGGUAGAUGUUGGACUAACUGGACCCAAAUGCUUUCUUAACAAACUGACAUGAAACACGUCAUGAAUUUGAGAACCAGGAGGCAAAGCCAGUUUAUAAGCCACCAGACCAACCUUCUCAAUGACUUUGUAUGGACCAAAGAAACGUGGGGCGAGCUUCAUGGAAGCCCGAAAAGCCAAGAAGUUUGUCGAUAGGGCUGGAGUUUCAAAUACACAUAAUCUCCCACCAGGAACGAUACCUCGCGCCGGUGUUGGUCCACUUAACAUUUCAUCCGAUCUUGAGCCAACAGAAGGUUAUGUCGUAGCUCACGUAGGACGACAUCUCGGUCACACAGGUACUCAUCUACUGCUUGGACGCGGGAAGUGCCUGGUAUAUAAGCUAAUAGACUUGGAAGUGGAAUGUCGUAAACGGCUUCGAAGGGUGUCAUCUUGGUGGAGGAGUGAGUGGAAGUGUUGUAGCUGAACUCGGCCCAGGGAAUCCAUUCGAGCCAUUUCCGCGAUUGUUCCCCUACAAAACAUCGUAAAUAUUGCUCCAAAGUUCUAUUGACAACUUCCGUUUGGCCGUCAGAUUGGGGAUGGUAACUUGAGCUCAUACACAACUUGGUUCCCUACAGCUGGAACAAUGUUCGCCAAAAGAAGAUGAUAAACACUUUGUCCCGGUCGCUAACGAUGGAUGUCGGAAUACCGUGCAAGCGAACCACGUUGGCAACAAAUGCCUUGGCGAUAAUUACAGCAGUAAAUGGAUGUUUCAAGGCUACGAAGUGAGCAUAUUUUGUCAAUCGAUUGACGACCACCAUGAUGGCAGUGAUAUUAAAAAUUUGGAUACAAUGGAGAAAAGAAACACUCUCAAACACUCUCUUGAUAUAAUAAAACUCUCAAAGUUACAAAAUAAGAACAAGAAGAAGAAGAACACAAGAAAGGCUCAAACAAGUUCUUGGAACUUUGUCCAAAGACUCUAUUUCCUCCCACCACUAGAAAUCUUUAGGAAACUAAUGGAAAUAGUCUUGUGAUUGAUCAAGCUUUUUCACAUUUUUGCAUAAGAUUUCAAAAAGAAGAAAAGUCAUAUAUAGCACUCUUAGGGUUGAAAAAUGGUUACAAGGAUGAGAAAAAACCUAUUGUCUUCCUCAAUCUCUUCAUCUUUGUAACAUUCAAAAAUUAAAUCAUAUGUUUAAUUUACACAUUAAACAUGAUUUAAUUUCAAAUGUGUAACUCUCUUACACUUAACCUCUUAAGUUUUAUAAAGUUACAAAGAUGAGAAGACUCAUUGUCUUCCUUAACCUUUCAAGUUUUGUAACAUUUCAAAACUUAAUCAUGUGUUUAAUUCACACAUUAAAAGUGUAACCCUUCUUACACUUUAUUUUCAAAAGUUAUUUUUCAAAAGUGUAACUCUUCUUACACUUUAUUUUUAACCAACAAUAUAUAUAUAUAUUUAUAUAAAUAUAACAGGCAGUAUAUCCAUUAGAAGAUGGUAACCCCUCAAUAAAGUCCAUUGAGACAUCAGUCCACAUUUGAGUAGGAAUGGGUAGCGGUUGAAGCAACCCCACCGGCUUCAUAUAAUCGGUUUUGAACCGUUGAUAGACAUCACAUCGUUGCAAAAAAAUCCUUCAUCAUCUGGCGCAUAUUAGAACAAAAGAAACUCUGUUUGAUACGGGAGAGAGUUUUAUGAAACCCAAAGUGCCCACCUAUUGGCAAUGAAUGGCAGUCAACCAUUAUCUUUGGAAGCAAGGGUGAGGUGGGACUCAAAUAGACUUUGUCUUUUUUGAACCACACUCCAUCAUGUUAGAGCGGCUUGAGUUGGGUGUUUUUGUAAGAAGUCUGCAUAAUAUGAGUUAUGUUGGACUUCUUUUUUAUGCAGUGGCCACCAAUCUGCACGUGGUUGAGAAAUAGAUAAAAAUUGGAAUUCAACUACACGUGACAAAGAAUCUGCACCUUUAUUUUCAGGCCCACGUUUAUACUCCAUUACGUAAUCAUAACCGAGUAUUUUUGGCAGCCAUAUUGUUUGUGUCGGUGUAGUAAUUCAUUGCUCCAGUAGGUGUUUGAGACUUUUUUGGUCAGUGCGUACUGUAAAUAGUUUCCCUAGAAAGUAUGGACGCCAUUUCUUAAUUGCUUUUACGAUAGCCAACAUUUCUUUCUCGUAUGUGGACAAG